CCUUGACAUACUAAGAACUUUCCAGAGAUGGAUUGGUGCCUUCGGGAACUUAGAUACAGGUGCUGCAUGGCUGUCGUCAGCUCGUGUCGUGAGAUGUUGGGUUAAGUCCCGNAACGAGCGCAACCUUUUCCUAUUUGCCAGCGGGUCAUGCCGGGAACUUUAAGGAUACUGCCAGUGACAAACUGGAGGAGGCGGGGACGACGUCAAGUCAUCAUGGCCCUUACGGCCAGGGCUACACACGUGCUACAAUGGUCGGUACAAAGGGUUGCUACCUCGCGAGAGGAUGCUAAUCUCAAAAAGCCGAUCGUAGUCCGGAUCGCAGUCUGCAACUCGACUGCGUGAAGUCGGAAUCGCUAGUAAUCGCGGAUCAGAAUGCCGCGGUGAAUACGUUCCCGGGCCUUGUACACACCGCCCGUCACACCAUGGGAGUUUGUUGCACCAGAAGUAGGUAGUCUAACCGCAAGGAGGACGCUUACCACGGUGUGGCCGAUGACUGGGGUGAAGUCGUAACAAGGUAGGCGUAGAUGA
RNAcentral lists this ribosomal RNA (528 nucleotides) under uncultured bacterium. Its description in RNAcentral is "bacterial SSU rRNA". It matches the Rfam family "Bacterial small subunit ribosomal RNA", at positions 979 to 1509 of the family's 1533-position model. The record is from RNAcentral.